CAGCCGCCGCGGUAAUACGUAGGUGGCGAGCGUUAUCCGGAAUUAUUGGGCGUAAAGGGUGCGUAGGCGGCUUAAUAAGUUUGUGGUGAAAUCGUGGGGCUCAACUCCAUCAAGCCACAAAAACUGUAAAGCUAGAGGACAGUAGAGGCAAGUGGAAUUCCAUGUGUAGCGGUAAAAUGCGUAGAUAUAUGGAGGAACACCAGUGGCGAAGGCGGCUUGCUGGACUGUAACUGACGCUGAGGCACGAAAGCGUGGGGAGCAAAUAGGAUUAGAUACCCUAGUAGUCCACGCCGUAAACGAUGAAUACUAAGUGUUGGAGAAAUUCAGUGCUGCAGUUAACGCAAUAAGUAUUCCGCCUGGGGAGUACGCACGCAAGUGUGAAACUCAAAGGAAUUGACGGGGACCCGCACAAGCGGUGGAUUAUGUGGUUUAAUUCGAUGCAACGCGAAGAACCUUACCAAGCCUUGACAUCUUCGGCGAAGCUCUAGAGAUAGAGUGGAGGCUAUCCGAAAGACAGGUGGUGCAUGGCC
This 530-nucleotide ribosomal RNA is filed under the name uncultured archaeon. Its description in RNAcentral is "bacterial SSU rRNA". It matches the Rfam family "Bacterial small subunit ribosomal RNA", at positions 509 to 1050 of the family's 1533-position model. The record is from RNAcentral.